GCUGAGAGGAGGCGAGAGGCGGGGGCGCUAGGGCCGAGAUCAUGUCUGACUGGGAGAGGUUUCCUUGGCAGCAGAGGACGCUAGGUUUGGGAUGAAAGAAGCUGGGCAGAUGCAAAAUCUGGAGAGCGCGAGGGCCGGGCGGUCAGUCAGCACCCAGACUGGCAGCAUGACCGGUGAGUGUCCGGGACCCUGCUCCCGCCACCCUACCUUUCGCUCUGCCCUGUGCGUCUCCCGUCAUUGAACUCCAGAUUCCUUGUCUGAGCCUCUUUGCCUCCCCUGCUGCUUUUGGAUGUCUCCUGCCCGCCCUCUGCGUGUCCCCUCCGCGGUCGCCAGGACCAAUCGGCUCGGUCGCACUGGCUUUUGAAGUCUCGCUUUUUACCCCUGUUAGCUACUUCUCACAGGACCUAGAGCUGGGGCCUCUGAGGUCAAAGAGCCUGAACAUUUCCAAACGGCGCUUUUGCCUUGAUUUCCAAAUUAACCGCACGUGACGCUUUCCUGUAUUUCGACUGCUUUACCGUCGAAGGUCAGAUACCAAGGCUUUCUAAAGUCAACCUUUUCACUCUGCUCAGCCUCUGGAUGGAGCUCUUUCCAGCAGAAGCCCAGCGGCAAAAAUCUCAGAAAAAUGAAGAGGGAAAGCAUGGACCCUUAGGAGAUAAUGAAGAGAGGACCAGAGUAUCUACUGACAAAAGACAGGUAAAGAGAACUGGUCUUGUGGUGGUGAAAAACAUGAAAAUUGUUGGUCUCCACUGUUCUAGUGAAGAUUUACAUGCCGGGCAGAUUGCUCUUAUUAAACAUGGGUCAAGGCUGAAAAACUGUGAUCUUUAUUUUUCCAGAAAACCAUGUUCUGCUUGUUUGAAAAUGAUUGUAAAUGCUGGAGUUAACCGAAUUUCAUACUGGCCUGCUGAUCCAGAAAUAAGUUUGCUUACGGAGGCUUCUAGUUCUGAAGAUGCAAAGUUAGAUGCCAAAGCAGUGGAAAGAUUGAAGUCAAACAGUCGGGCCCAUGUGUGUGUCUUACUUCAACCUUUGGUGUGUUAUAUGGUGCAGUUUGUAGAGGAGACCUCUUACAAAUGUGACUUUAUUCAAAAAAUUACAAAAACAUUGCCGGAUGCUAACACUGACUUUUAUUAUGAAUGUAAACAAGAAAGAAUAAAAGAAUAUGAA
RNAcentral lists this long non-coding RNA (1161 nucleotides) under Homo sapiens (human). Its description in RNAcentral is "long non-coding RNA NONHSAT165694.1". The record is from RNAcentral. Lineage: Eukaryota; Metazoa; Chordata; Mammalia; Primates; Hominidae.